GAAAUGCGAUAAGUAAUGUGAAUUGCAGAAUUCAGUGAAUCAUCGAAUCUUUGAACGCACCUUGCGCUCCUUGGUAUUCCUUGGAGCAUGCCUGUUUGAGUAUCAUGAAAUCUUCAAAGUAAAUCUUUUGUUAACUCAAUUGGUUUCUACUUUGGUAUUGGAGGUCUUUGCAGCUUCACACCUGCUCCUCUUUGUUCAUUAGCUGGAUCUCAGUGUUAUGCUUGGUUCCACUCGGCGUGAUAAGUUAUCUAUCGCUGAGGACACUGUAAAAGGUGGCCAGGGUAAAUGCAGAUGAACCGCUUCUAAUAGUCCAUUGACUUGGACAAUACUUUUAUGAUCUGAUCUCAAAUCAGGUAGGAAUACCCGCUGAACUUAAGC
This 378-nucleotide unclassified non-coding RNA is filed under the name plant metagenome. RNAcentral's name for it is "partial contains 5.8S ribosomal RNA, internal transcribed spacer 2, and large subunit ribosomal RNA". The stretch from base 1 to 105 matches the Rfam family "5.8S ribosomal RNA", at positions 50 to 154 of the family's 154-position model. The record is from RNAcentral.